RNAcentral lists this ribosomal RNA (613 nucleotides) under Peribacillus simplex. RNAcentral's name for it is "bacterial SSU rRNA". It matches the Rfam family "Bacterial small subunit ribosomal RNA", at positions 51 to 648 of the family's 1533-position model. The record is from RNAcentral. Lineage: Bacteria; Bacillati; Bacillota; Bacilli; Caryophanales; Bacillaceae.
AUACAUGCAAGUCGAGCGAAUCGACGGGAGCUUGCUCCCUGAGAUUAGCGGCGGACGGGUGAGUAACACGUGGGCAACCUGCCUAUAAGACUGGGAUAACUUCGGGAAACCGGAGCUAAUACCGGAUACGUUCUUUUCUCGCAUGAGAGAAGAUGGAAAGACGGUUUACGCUGUCACUUAUAGAUGGGCCCGCGGCGCAUUAGCUAGUUGGUGAGGUAAUGGCUCACCAAGGCGACGAUGCGUAGCCGACCUGAGAGGGUGAUCGGCCACACUGGGACUGAGACACGGCCCAGACUCCUACGGGAGGCAGCAGUAGGGAAUCUUCCGCAAUGGACGAAAGUCUGACGGAGCAACGCCGCGUGAACGAAGAAGGCCUUCGGGUCGUAAAGUUCUGUUGUUAGGGAAGAACAAGUACCAGAGUAACUGCUGGUACCUUGACGGUACCUAACCAGAAAGCCACGGCUAACUACGUGCCAGCAGCCGCGGUAAUACGUAGGUGGCAAGCGUUGUCCGGAAUUAUUGGGCGUAAAGCGCGCGCAAGUGGUUCCUUAAGUCUGAUGUGAAAGCCCACGGCUCAACCGUGGAGGGUCAUUGGAACUGGGGAACUUGAUGC